UUAAAAUUUUAUAAAAAUAAUUUAUUUAUUUAAUGUUUUAGUAUUUAUUAAAAAAAAAUUUUUAAAUUUAUAGUUUAUUAGUAUUGUGAAAGAAUUAUUUUAAACUUUAAAAAGAAUAAUAUUUUUAGUACCUUUUGUAUCAGGGUUGAUUUAAAUUUUAAAUUUAUUUUUAAUUCUCAAAAAUUAUAGAGUUAAUUUUAUUAUUAAAUUAUUGUGUAAUAAAUAUUUAAAAAAUAAUAUUAGUUUUAAAAUUUAAUUCGUUAUAAUAUAUUUAGUUAUUUAAGAUUUAAAAUUAAUUUAAAAUUUUAAAAGUUAAAUUAAUUUAGUUAAUUUAUAUUUUAAUUUUAGAUUGUUUUAGGGAUAAGCUUGAAAUUUUUAUAUAAUAAAUAUUUUAAUUUAAAAUAAUUUAUAGAAAUAGAAAUUUUUAUUAAAGUUUGUAAAAAUUUAUUAUUUUUGUUUAUCAUUUUUAUUAAUAUUUAUUUAUUUUAAAUAUUAAAUUUUAUUAAUAAAUUAUUUAUUUAUAGUAAUAAUGAUUAAAUUAGUAUAAUAUAAAUAUAUAAAUUAUGAAUUCGGCAAUAAUUAUUUUCAUCUGUUUAUCAAAAACAUUGUAUUAAGUUUAAUUUAAUAUAGGAUCUGCUCAAUGAUUUAUUAAAUAGCUGCAGUAUUUUGACUGUGCAAAGGUAGCAUAAUAAUUAGUCUUUUAAUUGAGGACUAGAAUGAAAGAUUUGAUGAGAAAUAAACUUUAUUAUUUAUAUAAUUAAAAUUUUAUUUUUAAGUAAAAAAGCUUAAAUAAUUUAAAGGGCCGAUAAGACCCUAUAAAACUUUAUAACUAUUAUAUAUUUAAUUUUUUUGGUUUAUAAAUAWUUAAAUUUUAGUAUUUAUUUUAUUGGGGUGAUAAAAAAAAAUUAACUUUUUUUAAAAUUUAACAUUAAUUAAUGAUUUAUUGAAUUAAAAUUUUUAAUUAAAGGAAAAAGUUACUUUAGGGAUAACAGCGUAAUUAAUUUUUUAAGCUCAAAUUUGAAAAUUAGUUUGCGACCUCGAUGUUGAAUUAAGAUUAGGCUUAGGUGCAAAAUUUUAAGUUUUGGGUCUGUUCGACCUUUAAAUUCUUACAUGAUUAGAGUUCAAACC
Molecule: ribosomal RNA, 1128 nt
Filed under: Symydobius kabae
Lineage: Eukaryota; Metazoa; Arthropoda; Insecta; Hemiptera; Aphididae
Description: partial 16S large subunit ribosomal RNA
Source: RNAcentral